UCAGGGCUAGGGGGCCCUGAAGCAGGGUCUGGAAAAGGGGGAUGGGGUGUGGGUGGUACGGGAUGCAACCCCCCCAAAAGAUAUCGAGAUAAAAUAGAAAUAAUCACUUAUAAUGCCCAAACGCAAAACCUGAAAAGAGAGAGACAUGCAUAUAUUUGUCUAAAAACGGGAGAAAAAAACGGGAAAAAAAGGCACCCAUGAAAAUCCAGGCAAAAGCAUAUACAUUGAGGUCUAACCACGAACGAUAAAGGUGGAAGGAAAAGACUUUUCUGCUUGGAACACCCAGACACACAGCUUAUUUCCUUAAUAAAUGAAGAGCUGUUGGAAACCAACAAGGGAAAAGACCAAACCAAGCCAAAAAAAUUAAACUAAAAAACAAAAAUAGAUGGGCAAAAGAGACCGAACUGACAAUUCACGGGAAAAUGCAAAUGUCUGGGACAUCUAUGGAGGAAGAAUCAUGAACUGACUCUCUGCGUAGCGAGAUGCCAACCGAGACACCGGGUGAAGGGGGUUUAUGGCAGCGCACUGAUUCGCGUGCUACCCCCGCGCUAUCACCCGCCGCCUUCCACACAGACCUUCUAACGCAUGAAUCCACUGCAGUGCCUCUUAGUAAAAUAACAAGAAAUUGCAAGAAGAGGAAAGUGUGAGUAGCAAGCCUGCCUCUGAUAGAAGAAAUGCCUAUAGAACCCAGAAAAUAACGAGGUAGCACCGCCUUACUACAAUUAAAGGACCACUAUCUUAAUAGAUCCAAUGAAAUAACACAUUGCUGAAGUUUGUAGAGAUGAAAUGUGUACUGUGGCGUUUUUCUGAAGCUACAAGAGCAGCUGGUGACCCUACAACAGACUGAAGGCUUGUGCAGGUGUGUGCAUAAGCAUGACACGACGGAAGUGAGAAAGUCAGAGGACAACUUGCAGGAGU
Long non-coding RNA from Nannospalax galili (Upper Galilee mountains blind mole rat), 918 nucleotides. RefSeq lists it as uncharacterized. The transcript has 3 exons. NCBI's taxonomy places the organism in Eukaryota, Metazoa, Chordata, Mammalia, Rodentia, Spalacidae. The record is from RefSeq and is a predicted model, not a curated record.